This 468-nucleotide ribosomal RNA is filed under the name uncultured bacterium. RNAcentral's name for it is "partial 16S ribosomal RNA". It matches the Rfam family "Bacterial small subunit ribosomal RNA", at positions 28 to 507 of the family's 1533-position model. The record is from RNAcentral.
GACGAACGCUGGCGGCGUGCUUAACACAUGCAAGUCGAACGGAAAGGCCCUGCUUUUGUGGGGUGCUCGAGUGGCGAACGGGUGAGUAACACGUGAGUAACCUGCCCUUGACUUUGGGAUAACUUCAGGAAACUGGGGCUAAUACCGGAUAGGAGCUCCUGCUGCAUGGUGGGGGUUGGAAAGUUUCGGCGGUUGGGGAUGGACUCGCGGCUUAUCAGCUUGUUGGUGGGGUAGUGGCUUACCAAGGCUUUGACGGGUAGCCGGCCUGAGAGGGUGACCGGCCACAUUGGUACUGAGGGACGGACCAGACUGCUACGGGAGGCAGCAGGGGGGAAUAUGGCACAAUGGGCGGAAGCCUGAUGCAGCAACGCCGCGUGCGUGAUGACGGCCUUCGGGGUGUAAACCGCUUUCGCCUGUGACGAAGCGUGAGUGACGGUAAUGGGUAAAGAAGCACCGGCUAACUACGUG